This is a non-coding RNA of Paramuricea clavata, 445 nucleotides long. NCBI's taxonomy places the organism in Eukaryota, Metazoa, Cnidaria, Anthozoa, Malacalcyonacea, Plexauridae. The record is from the annotation of a GenBank genome assembly.
CACUUAAGCAAUUUUAGCUCUUUGGUCUGCAUAUCUUGUAAAAUUUUUAUCCAUUGACGGUUUUAUUUGUUUUUGAAAACUGAAAAUUCGCGUCGCGUUGCCGAAUCGCGUCCGGUCUGUGUGGGCCUUUAUGAAAAGCAGCGCCGUCUAAACCGGGCCUUAGCUAAGCUACGACACGUGCGUGAUUAAUUGCUUUUUCUUUUGUUAUGCAUUGUUUUAAUUAGGCACAGAGGUGAAAAUAUGCGAUUUUGACUAACAUUUUUGAUCGGCCUCGUACAUGCUUAUUUUUUCUCCACUUGGUAUGAAAAGCAUGUCGUUCAAUAGCUAAAAGCUUGAUCUUUCCGAAUAUGAAAACCAAUUGGUCAUACGCCGAGUGAUUCACGUAUAAUAGCGCGCUGAAGUUCGAUUACCUUUUUUUUAUACACCAUGUAUAGAAGUAGCAGAG